GACGAACGCUGGCGGCGUGCUUAACACAUGCAAGUCGAACGGUGAAGCGCCUUCCUUUUUGGUGGGUGUGGAUGAGUGGCGAACGGGUGAGUAACACGUGAGUAACCUGCCCCCUUCUUCUGGAUAACCGCAUGAAAGUGUGGCUAAUACGGGAUAUUCUGGGCCUGUCGCAUGAUGGGUCUGGGAAAGAGAUUGUUUCGGUGGGGGAUGGGCUCGCGGCCUAUCAGCUUGUUGGUGGGGUGAUGGCCUACCAAGGCGGUGACGGGUAGCCGGCCUGAGAGGGUGGACGGUCACACAGGGACAGAGAAACGGCCAAGACUCCGACGGGACGCAGCAGUGGGGGAUACUGCACGGUGGGCGCACGCCUGAUGCAGCGACGAGGCGUGAGGGAUGGAGGCAUUCGGGUUGUGAACCUCUUUCGGGAGUGAAGCGGGCCUGCCUCGUUUGUGGGUAGGUUGACGGUAGCUGGCUAAGAAGCCACGGCUAACUACGUG
RNAcentral lists this ribosomal RNA (494 nucleotides) under uncultured bacterium. Its description in RNAcentral is "partial 16S ribosomal RNA". It matches the Rfam family "Bacterial small subunit ribosomal RNA", at positions 28 to 507 of the family's 1533-position model. The record is from RNAcentral.